This 689-nucleotide ribosomal RNA is filed under the name Microbacterium sp. Its description in RNAcentral is "bacterial SSU rRNA". It matches the Rfam family "Bacterial small subunit ribosomal RNA", at positions 56 to 753 of the family's 1533-position model. The record is from RNAcentral. Lineage: Bacteria; Bacillati; Actinomycetota; Actinomycetes; Micrococcales; Microbacteriaceae.
UGCAAGUCGAACGAUGAAGCCGGAGCUUGCUCUGGUGGAUUAGUGGCGAACGGGUGAGUAACACGUGAGUAACCUGCCCCUGACUCUGGGAUAAGCGCUGGAAACGGCGUCUAAUACCGGAUAUGCGCUGUAACCGCAUGGUUUGCAGCGGGAAAGAUUUAUCGGUUGGGGAUGGACUCGCGGCCUAUCAGCUUGUUGGUGAGGUAAUGGCUCACCAAGGCGUCGACGGGUAGCCGGCCUGAGAGGGUGACCGGCCACACUGGGACUGAGACACGGCCCAGACUCCUACGGGAGGCAGCAGUGGGGAAUAUUGCACAAUGGGCGCAAGCCUGAUGCAGCAACGCCGCGUGAGGGAUGACGGCCUUCGGGUUGUAAACCUCUUUUAGCAGGGAAGAAGCCUUCGGGUGACGGUACCUGCAGAAAAAGCGCCGGCUAACUACGUGCCAGCAGCCGCGGUAAUACGUAGGGCGCAAGCGUUAUCCGGAAUUAUUGGGCGUAAAGAGCUCGUAGGCGGUUUGUCACGUCUGCUGUGAAAACUGGAGGCUCAACCUCCAGCCUGCAGUGGGUACGGGCAGACUAGAGUGCGGUAGGGGAGAUUGGAAUUCCUGGUGUAGCGGUGGAAUGCGCAGAUAUCAGGAGGAACACCGAUGGCGAAGGCAGAUCUCUGGGCCGUUACUGACGCUGAGGAG